GCCGGGGUGGUGCAGCGGCAGCACGGGGGCCUGUGGAGCCCCAGACCCGGGUUCGAUUCCCGGCCCCGGCCCCA
This 74-nucleotide transfer RNA is filed under the name Candidatus Bathyarchaeota archaeon. Its description in RNAcentral is "tRNA-His". It matches the Rfam family "tRNA". From Rfam's summary of the family: Transfer RNA (tRNA) molecules are approximately 80 nucleotides in length. Lineage: Archaea; Thermoproteati; Candidatus Bathyarchaeota. The record is from RNAcentral.